Neofelis nebulosa (Clouded leopard) is the source of this 733-nucleotide long non-coding RNA. RefSeq lists it as uncharacterized. NCBI's taxonomy places the organism in Eukaryota, Metazoa, Chordata, Mammalia, Carnivora, Felidae. The transcript is spliced from 4 exons. The record is from RefSeq and is a predicted model, not a curated record.
UCACUUGGCAUAUUGCUUUGCAGACUCACUGAUACUCCUGCGUGUCUCAGGGGUUGACUCCUUUUUGUUGCUGAACUGUAUUCUAUUGUAUGUGUCUUCCCACUUUUAAAACUCGGUCCAAGAGUCGCCUUCUCCAGAAAGUCUUCUCUGACUCGGAUGCAAGCACGAAUGGCCCUCGUUGGAGGGAGGCAGCCUUAACUUCAGACACGCCGAUGCUCUACAAAUGAACUUCCAAGGGAUGCAUUUACCUUUGCUUCUCUCAACAGCCCUGUGACAUUGGCACUGAUCUACACACUUGAUGAAGAAGGAAAUUAAGAUGGCUGGAGUUGGCUUGGGAAGCUGCAGGCGGCUAUCCUUGCACGAACCAAACUGAGGUGGCACUGGAUGGCACCUGGCCACAUGCAGCGGGGACAUGAUGGGGAGCAGAAAACACAUAAAAAGAGCUUUGGCUUCACUGUCGCUUCAUCGGCUAUCUCUCAGCUGGGAAAGUCAAUCUGACGCACCUCCCAUUCAAGAUCUCCCCUCACUCCCACAGAGGACCAGGAGGGAAUGAAAUUCAACUCACGUGGGCCAGUCGAUCAAAUCUGGCAAAGAGCUCGUUGAGCAUCCUGACCAGCUCCUGGGCAGACAAGGUUGUGGAGAGCACAUCUUAGUGUCCUGUACCCCCUCCUCUUGUGAGGAGAGAUGAUAAAAUGCCUACGUCACGUGAUGAAGCAAGAGCAGUGAUGCAGGU